UACGUAGGGCGCAAGCGUUAUCCGGAAUUAUUGGGCGUAAAGAGCUCGUAGGCGGUUUGUCGCGUCUGCCGUGAAAGUCCGGGGCUCAACUCCGGAUCUGCGGUGGGUACGGGCAGACUAGAGUGAUGUAGGGGAGACUGGAAUUCCUGGUGUAGCGGUGAAAUGCGCAGAUAUCAGGAGGAACACCGGUGGCGAAGGCGGGUCUCUGGGCAGUAACUGACGCUGAUGCGCGAAAGCCAGGGGAGCGAACGGG
Molecule: ribosomal RNA, 253 nt
Filed under: uncultured bacterium
Lineage: Bacteria
Description: partial 16S ribosomal RNA
Rfam family: Bacterial small subunit ribosomal RNA
Source: RNAcentral